This 2394-nucleotide ribosomal RNA is filed under the name Salmonella enterica. RNAcentral describes it as "partial 23S ribosomal RNA". It matches the Rfam family "Bacterial large subunit ribosomal RNA", at positions 512 to 2803 of the family's 2925-position model. Lineage: Bacteria; Pseudomonadati; Pseudomonadota; Gammaproteobacteria; Enterobacterales; Enterobacteriaceae. The record is from RNAcentral.
AGGCGAAAAGAACCCCGGCGAGGGGAGUGAAAAAGAACCUGAAACCGUGUACGUACAAGCAGUGGGAGCACAGGUUUACCUGUGUGACUGCGUACCUUUUGUAUAAUGGGUCAGCGACUUAUAUUCUGUAGCAAGGUUAACCGAAUAGGGGAGCCGGAGGGAAACCGAGUCUUAAUUGGGCGUUAAGUUGCAGGGUAUAGACCCGAAACCCGGUGAUCUAGCCAUGGGCAGGUUGAAGGUUGGGUAACACUAACUGGAGGACCGAACCGACUAAUGUUGAAAAAUUAGCGGAUGACCUGUGGCUGGGGGUGAAAGGCCAAUCAAACCGGGAGAUAGCUGGUUCUCCCCGAAAGCUAUUUAGGUAGCGCCUCGUGAAUUCAUCUCCGGGGGUAGAGCACUGUUUCGGCUAGGGGGCCAUCCCGGCUUACCAACCCGAUGCAAACUGCGAAUACCGGAGAAUGUUAUCACGGGAGACACACGGCGGGUGCUAACGUCCGUCGUGAAGAGGGAAACAACCCAGACCGCCAGCUAAGGUCCCAAAGUCAUGGUUAAGUGGGAAACGAUGUGGGAAGGCCCAGACAGCCAGGAUGUUGGCUUAGAAGCAGCCAUCAUUUAAAGAAAGCGUAAUAGCUCACUGGUCGAGUCGGCCUGCGCGGAAGAUGUAACGGGGCUAAACCAUGCACCGAAGCUGCGGCAGCGAACGUAUCACCCAAGACAACUUUACGGAGUUGACGAUUGACGGAGCGAAGCGACGUCAAAGCGUUCAUUAAAGUCGAGUUGGCUUAGGGAUACGUUCGUUGGGUAGGGGAGCGUUCUGUAAGCCUGUGAAGGUGGCCUGUGAGGGUUGCUGGAGGUAUCAGAAGUGCGAAUGCUGACAUAAGUAACGAUAAAGCGGGUGAAAAGCCCGCUCGCCGGAAGACCAAGGGUUCCUGUCCAACGUUAAUCGGGGCAGGGUGAGUCGACCCCUAAGGCGAGGCCGAAAGGCGUAGUCGAUGGGAAACGGGUUAAUAUUCCCGUACUUGGUGUUACUGCGAAGGGGGGACGGAGAAGGCUAUGUUGGCCGGGCGACGGUUGUCCCGGUUUAAGCGUGUAGGUGUGUGUUCCAGGUAAAUCCGGUUCACUUUAACACUGAGGCGUGAUGACGAGGCACUACGGUGCUGAAGCAACAAAUGCCCUGCUUCCAGGAAAAGCCUCUAAGCAUCAGGUAACAUCAAAUCGUACCCCAAACCGACACAGGUGGUCAGGUAGAGAAUACCAAGGCGCUUGAGAGAACUCGGGUGAAGGAACUAGGCAAAAUGGUGCCGUAACUUCGGGAGAAGGCACGCUGACACGUAGGUGAAGUGAUUUACUCACGGAGCUGAAGUCAGUCGAAGAUACCAGCUGGCUGCAACUGUUUAUUAAAAACACAGCACUGUGCAAACACGAAAGUGGACGUAUACGGUGUGACGCCUGCCCGGUGCCGGAAGGUUAAUUGAUGGGGUCAGCGCAAGCGAAGCUCCUGAUCGAAGCCCCGGUAAACGGCGGCCGUAACUAUAACGGUCCUAAGGUAGCGAAAUUCCUUGUCGGGUAAGUUCCGACCUGCACGAAUGGCGUAAUGAUGGCCAGGCUGUCUCCACCCGAGACUCAGUGAAAUUGAACUCGCUGUGAAGAUGCAGUGUACCCGCGGCAAGACGGAAAGACCCCGUGAACCUUUACUAUAGCUUGACACUGAACAUUGAGCCUUGAUGUGUAGGAUAGGUGGGAGGCUUUGAAGUGUGGACGCCAGUCUGCAUGGAGCCGACCUUGAAAUACCACCCUUUAAUGUUUGAUGUUCUAACGUGGACCCGUGAUCCGGGUUGCGGACAGUGUCUGGUGGGUAGUUUGACUGGGGCGGUCUCCUCCUAAAGAGUAACGGAGGAGCACGAAGGUUGGCUAAUCCUGGUCGGACAUCAGGAGGUUAGUGCAAUGGCAUAAGCCAGCUUGACUGCGAGCGUGACGGCGCGAGCAGGUGCGAAAGCAGGUCAUAGUGAUCCGGUGGUUCUGAAUGGAAGGGCCAUCGCUCAACGGAUAAAAGGUACUCCGGGGAUAACAGGCUGAUACCGCCCAAGAGUUCAUAUCGACGGCGGUGUUUGGCACCUCGAUGUCGGCUCAUCACAUCCUGGGGCUGAAGUAGGUCCCAAGGGUAUGGCUGUUCGCCAUUUAAAGUGGUACGCGAGCUGGGUUUAGAACGUCGUGAGACAGUUCGGUCCCUAUCUGCCGUGGGCGCUGGAGAACUGAGGGGGGCUGCUCCUAGUACGAGAGGACCGGAGUGGACGCAUCACUGGUGUUCGGGUUGUCAUGCCAAUGGCACUGCCCGGUAGCUAAAUGCGGAAGAGAUAAGUGCUGAAAGCAUCUAAGCACGAAACUUGCCCCGAG